RNAcentral lists this ribosomal RNA (497 nucleotides) under uncultured bacterium. Its description in RNAcentral is "partial 16S ribosomal RNA". It matches the Rfam family "Bacterial small subunit ribosomal RNA", at positions 28 to 507 of the family's 1533-position model. The record is from RNAcentral.
GAUGAACGCUGGCGGCGUGCCUAAUACAUGCAAGUCGAGCGAACGGACGAGAAGCUUGCUUCUCUGAUGUUAGCGGCGGACGGGUGAGUAACACGUGGAUAACCUACCUAUAAGACUGGGAUAACUUCGGGAAACCGUAGCUAAUACCGGAUAAUAUUUUGAACCGCAUGGUUCAAAAGUGAAAGACGGUCUUGCUGUCACUUAUAGAUGGAUCCGCGCUGCAUUAGCUAGUUGGUAAGGUAACGGCUUACCAAGGCAACGAUGCAUAGCCGAUCUGAGAGGGUGAUCGGCCACACUGGAACUGAGACACGGUCCAGACUCCUACGGGAGGCAGCAGUAGGGAAUCUGCCGCAAUGGGCGAAAGCCUGACGGAGCAACGCCGCGUGAGUGAUGAAGGUCUUCGGAUCGUAAAACUCUGUUAUUAGGGAAGAACAUAUGUGUAAGUAACUGUGCACAUCUUGACGGUACCUAAUCAGAAAGCCACGGCUAACUACGUG